UUCAGUGGUGAUGGCUGCAGGGAUCCACCUGUUCCCAUACCGAACACAGCAGUUAAGCCUGCAAACGCCGAAAGUACUUGGGUGGAAGCGCCC
This 93-nucleotide ribosomal RNA is filed under the name Megasphaera cerevisiae DSM 20462. Lineage: Bacteria; Bacillati; Bacillota; Negativicutes; Veillonellales; Veillonellaceae. The record is from RNAcentral.